CCUACGGGAGGCAGCAGUGGGGGAUAUUGCACAAUGGGGGGAACCCUGAUGCAGCGACGCCGCGUGGGUGAAGGAGCGUUUCGGCGCGUAAAGCCCUAUCGGCAGGGAAGAAGGAGGACGGUACCUGACGAAGAAGCACCGGCUAACUACGUGCCAGCAGCCGCGGUAAGACGGAGGGGGCAAGCGUUAUCCGGAUUUACGGGGUGUAAAGGGGGGGCAGACGGCAGCGGAAGCCAGGUGUGAAAGCCCGGGGCCCAACCCCGGGACUGCUCUUGGAACUGCGCGGCUGGAGUGCAGGAGGGGCAGGCGGAAUUCCUGGUGUAGCGGUGAAAUGCGUAGAUAUCAGGAG
This 349-nucleotide ribosomal RNA is filed under the name uncultured bacterium. RNAcentral's name for it is "partial 16S ribosomal RNA". It matches the Rfam family "Bacterial small subunit ribosomal RNA", at positions 338 to 703 of the family's 1533-position model. The record is from RNAcentral.